GACGAACGCUGGCGGCGUGCUUAACACAUGCCAGUCGAACGGAAAGGCCCUGCUUGCAGGGUACUCGAGUGGCGAACGGGUGAGUAACACGUGGGUGAUCUGCCCUGCACUUUGGGAUAAGCCUGGGAAACUGGGUCUAAUACCGAAUAUGAUCAUCGGCUUCAUGGUCGGUGGUGGAAAGCUUUUGCGGUGUGGGAUGGGCCCGCGGCCUAUCAGCUUGUUGGUGGGGUAAUGGCCUACCAAGGCGACGACGGGUAGCCGGCCUGAGAGGGUGACCGGCCACACUGGGACUGAGAUACGGCCCAGACUCCUACGGGAGGCAGCAGUGGGGAAUAUUGCACAAUGGGCGCAAGCCUGAUGCAGCGACGCCGCGUGAGGGAUGACGGCCUUCGGGUUGUAAACCUCUUUCAGCACAGACGAAGCGCAAGUGACGGUAUGUGCAGAAGAAGGACCGGCCAACUACGUG
RNAcentral lists this ribosomal RNA (466 nucleotides) under uncultured bacterium. Its description in RNAcentral is "partial 16S ribosomal RNA". It matches the Rfam family "Bacterial small subunit ribosomal RNA", at positions 28 to 507 of the family's 1533-position model. The record is from RNAcentral.